UCAACUUUACCCUCCUCAUCCUUCUUUUCUUCCUCGUCCUCAUCAUCAGAAAUCUCCUUCUCAGUGGUCUUCUCAAUCCAGAGGGAAAUUGGGUAACUAAUGAACUCAGAGUGCUUCUUAAUCAAAUCCUUCAAACGGCGCUCCUCGAGGUACUCAAGUUGGUCUUCCUUGAGGUGGAGAGUGAUCUUUGUACCGCGGCCAAGAGGCUCACCAGAAGUGUCCCUGGUAACAGUGAAUGAUCCACCGGCCUGAGACUCCCA
This 260-nucleotide long non-coding RNA is filed under the name Citrus maxima (pomelo). RNAcentral's name for it is "long non-coding RNA (CMAX_LNC001895)". The record is from RNAcentral. Lineage: Eukaryota; Viridiplantae; Streptophyta; Magnoliopsida; Sapindales; Rutaceae.